UCCAUGCGAUUGGCUUGUUGACUCUGGCAAUUCGGAAGACAGUGUCGACGAAAAAUUGGCCGAAGGUUUCUUCGAAGGAAAAAUUAGCGGAAGUAAAAGGAGAG
This is a long non-coding RNA of Cucurbita moschata (crookneck pumpkin), 104 nucleotides long. RefSeq lists it as uncharacterized. The transcript is spliced from 3 exons. NCBI's taxonomy places the organism in Eukaryota, Viridiplantae, Streptophyta, Magnoliopsida, Cucurbitales, Cucurbitaceae. The record is from RefSeq and is a predicted model, not a curated record.